CUGAGAAGAGAUGAUGCCAACCCCUCAGAGGACCUCAGAUGAUGCCAACCCUGAACCAACAUAUAGAACUACCAAAUUUACCUUACAUUACUAUAAUUUUCAUUGCAUCAAAUAGUAAUU
Molecule: long non-coding RNA, 120 nt
Organism: Sinocyclocheilus rhinocerous
Lineage: Eukaryota; Metazoa; Chordata; Actinopteri; Cypriniformes; Cyprinidae
Exons: 3
Source: RefSeq, a predicted model, not a curated record